Molecule: unclassified non-coding RNA, 330 nt
Filed under: soil metagenome
Description: partial contains 5.8S ribosomal RNA, internal transcribed spacer 2, and large subunit ribosomal RNA
Rfam family: 5.8S ribosomal RNA (bases 1-121)
Source: RNAcentral
GAUGAAGAACGCAGCGAAAUGCGAUAAGUAAUGCGAAUUGCAGAAUUUCCGUGAAUCAUCGAAUCUUUGAACGCACAUUGCGCCCCUUGGUAUCCCGAGGGGCAUGCCUGUUCGAGCGUCAUUUCACCACUCAAGCCUGGCUUGGUGUUGGGCGACGUCCUCUUUGGGGACGCGCCUCGAAACGCUCGGCGGCGUGGCACCGGCUUUAAGCGUAGCAGAAUCUUUCGCUUUGGAAGUCGGGGCCCCGUCUGCCGGAAGACCUGCUCGCAAGGUUGACCUCGGAUCAGGCAGGGAUACCCGCUGAACUUAAGCAUAUCAAUAAGCGGAGGA